This 238-nucleotide ribosomal RNA is filed under the name uncultured bacterium. Its description in RNAcentral is "partial 16S ribosomal RNA". It matches the Rfam family "Bacterial small subunit ribosomal RNA", at positions 1255 to 1500 of the family's 1533-position model. The record is from RNAcentral.
CGGUGACGCCGAGCGGAACCCGAAAGCCCCUCUCAGUUCGGAUCGGAGUCUGCAACCCGACUCCGUGAAGCUGGAUUCGCUAGUAAUCGCGCAUCAGCCAUGGCGCGGUGAAUACGUUCCCGGGCCUUGUACACACCGCCCGUCAAGCCAUGGGAGCCGGGAGCGCUUGAAGUGCGUCGCCGCGAGGCGCGCCCUAGAGCGAGACCGGUGACUGGGGGCUAAGUCGUAACAAGGUAGC